RNAcentral lists this ribosomal RNA (578 nucleotides) under uncultured bacterium. RNAcentral's name for it is "bacterial SSU rRNA". It matches the Rfam family "Bacterial small subunit ribosomal RNA", at positions 102 to 677 of the family's 1533-position model. The record is from RNAcentral.
ACGGGUGAGAAACGCGUAGGAAUCUGCCUUACAGAGAGGGACAACUAGAGGAAACUCUAGCUAAUACCGCAUAAUGUCUACGGACCGAAGGCUAGGUAGCAAUAUCUGGCGCUGUAAGAGGAGCCUGCGUCCGAUUAGCUAGUUGGUGGGGUAAAGGCCUACCAAGGCGAUGAUCGGUAGCUGGUCUGAGAGGAUGAUCAGCCACACUGGGACUGAGACACGGCCCAGACUCCUACGGGAGGCAGCAGUGGGGAAUAUUGGACAAUGGGGGCAACCCUGAUCCAGCAAUACCGCGUGUGUGAAGAAGGCCUUCGGGUUGUAAAGCACUUUAGGUUGGGAAGAAGGUAUGUAGUUUAAAAGAUGACAUAUUUGACGGUACCAACAGAAUAAGCACCGGCUAACUCUGUGCCAGCAGCCGCGGUAAUACAGAGGGUGCAAGCGUUAAUCGGAGUUACUGGGCGUAAAGGGCGCGUAGGCGGUUAUUUAAGUGAGAUGUGAAAUCCCUGGGCUUAACCUAUGAACUGCAUCUUAUACUGGAUAGCUAGAGUAUUGUAGAGGGUAGUGGAAUUUCCGGUGUA